Molecule: ribosomal RNA, 299 nt
Filed under: uncultured bacterium
Lineage: Bacteria
Description: partial 16S ribosomal RNA
Rfam family: Bacterial small subunit ribosomal RNA
Source: RNAcentral
AAUAAACGCUGGCGGCGUGCCUAACACAUGCAAGUCGAGCGGGAAAGUCCUUCGGGAUAAGUACAGCGGCGGACGAGUGAGAAACGCGUGAGAAUCUACCAUUCAGUGAGGAAUACCUCCGAGAAAUCGGGGUUAAUACUGCAUACGUCCCUCCGGGGAGAAAGAUGGCCUCUUUGCUGUCGCUGAUUGAUGAGCUUGCGUACUAUUAGCUUGUUGGUGAGGUAAAGGCUCACCAAGGCGAUGAUGGUUAACCGGCCUGAGAGGGUGUUCGGUCACGUUGGAACUGAGACACGGUCCAG